Molecule: long non-coding RNA, 531 nt
Organism: Bombus impatiens (common eastern bumble bee)
Lineage: Eukaryota; Metazoa; Arthropoda; Insecta; Hymenoptera; Apidae
Exons: 2
Source: RefSeq, a predicted model, not a curated record
AUACUGGUUAACCAACUCACUGAUCUUAGCAAAAUAUGCUGACAAAGUUUUGCGGAAGAAAACUGGGUCAUGAUGUAUACAAAAAACAAAGAUAUAGUUUUUGCAGCACUUAUGCAAUUGUAACAUCAUAAAGUAACCAGUUUAUAAACUUGAGUGGAAUAAACAUUAAUUUUAAAAUAUAAAAUAUUUUUAAAAUAGUCAUAAGAAUUAAUUGUUGAUUUAUCCAACUAUAACAUAAUGCAAAUAGAAACAUGAGCAUUAGUUAAAUUAUCUAAGUAUUUAAAGUGUAUUAUUUGACUAUUCUAUUUAAAAUCUCUACCCUGUAUAGAAUUUUCGAUAAGAAAUACACGAGAAUUUAUAAAAUAAGGUUAAAAUUAUAUGUUCAUAAAUACUAAAUAUUUUGGAAGAUAUUAAUGGCACUUUGCACGAUCGAAUGACUAUUUGCACUACACUUUCUAUUAUAACUGAUUCUAGGAAAUUAGAAUACAUUUACCUAUAAAAAAUCUUCUGUAGAUGUUACUGUAGCUUCUA